RNAcentral lists this ribosomal RNA (253 nucleotides) under uncultured bacterium. Its description in RNAcentral is "partial 16S ribosomal RNA". It matches the Rfam family "Bacterial small subunit ribosomal RNA", at positions 524 to 776 of the family's 1533-position model. The record is from RNAcentral.
UACGUAGGGGGCGAGCGUUGUCCGGAAUCAUUGGGCGUAAAGCGCGUGUAGGCGGUUCAGUAAGUCUGCUGUGAAAGUCCAGGGCUCAACCCUGGGAUGCCGGUGGAUACUGCUGAACUAGAGUGCGGAAGAGGCGAGUGGAAUUCCCGGUGUAGCGGUGAAAUGCGCAGAUAUCAGGAGGAACACCGGUGGCGAAGGCGGGUCUCUGGGCCGAUACUGACGCUGAGGAGCGAAAGCGUGGGGAGCGAACAGG